CCCAAGAACACCAUCUCCACCGCCAAACAUGGAGGUGUAAACAUUAUGCUUUGGGGAUGUUGUUCUGCUAAGAGGACAGGACAACUGCACUGCAUCAAAGGGACAAUGGACGGGGCCAUGUACCGUCAAAUCUUGGGUGUGAACCUCCUUCUCUCAGCCAGGGCAUUGAAAAUGGGUAGUGGAUGGGUAUUCCAGCAUGAUAAUGAUCCAAAACACAAAGCCACGUCAACAAAGGAGUGGCUCAAGAAGAAGCACAUUAAGGUCCUGGAGUGGC
Pelobates cultripes (western spadefoot toad) is the source of this 274-nucleotide non-coding RNA. Lineage: Eukaryota; Metazoa; Chordata; Amphibia; Anura; Pelobatidae. The record is from the annotation of a GenBank genome assembly.